This 448-nucleotide ribosomal RNA is filed under the name uncultured bacterium. RNAcentral's name for it is "bacterial SSU rRNA". It matches the Rfam family "Bacterial small subunit ribosomal RNA", at positions 28 to 507 of the family's 1533-position model. The record is from RNAcentral.
GAUGAACGCUGGCGGCGUGUCUAAGGCAUGCAAGUCGAAUGGUCUGGUUUCCAGACCAUGGCAAACGGGAGAGUAACACAUUGGUAAUUUACCCCAAAGACGAGAAUAAUCCAGAGAAAUCUGGAAUAAUACUCGAUAUUAUGCAUUGUCGCCUGAUAAUGCAUCAAAGCUCCGGCGCUUUGGGAGAAGCCUAUGGUCUAUCAGCUAGUUGGUGAGGUAAUGGCCCACCAAGGCGACGACGGAUAGCGGGUGUGAGAGCAUGACCCGUCUCACUGGGACUGAGCACUGCCCAGACUCCUACGGGAGGCUGCAGUCAAGAAUAUUCCUCAAUGGCCGAAAGGCUGAAGGAGCGACGCCGCGUGUAUGAUGAAGCCCUUCGGGGUGUAAAAUACUUUUAACCGGGACGAAGUACUGACGGUACCGGUUGAAUAAGGGCUGCUAACUCGUG